Molecule: ribosomal RNA, 472 nt
Filed under: uncultured bacterium
Lineage: Bacteria
Description: bacterial SSU rRNA
Rfam family: Bacterial small subunit ribosomal RNA
Source: RNAcentral
ACGCUGGCGGCACGCUUAACACAUGCAAGUCGAACGAAGAUGUUUCACCGUAGCUUGCUACACCGAGACAUUUUAGUGGCGGACGGGUGAGUAACACGUGAGCAAUCUGCCUUUCAGAGGGGGAUACCAGUUGGAAACGACUGUUAAUACCGCAUAACAUAUCGAGAUCGCAUGAUAUUGAUAUCAAAGAUUUAUCGCUGAAAGAUGAGCUCGCGUCUGAUUAGAUAGUUGGUGAGGUAACGGCUCACCAAGUCGACGAUCAUUAGCCGGACUGAGAGGUUGAACGGCCACAUUGGGACUGAGAUACGGUCCAGACUCCUACGGGAGGCAGCAGUGGGGAAUAUUGGGCAAUGGGCGAAAGCCUGACCCAGCGACGCCGCGUGAGGGAAGAAGGUCUUCGGAUUGUAAACCUUUGUUGACAGGGAAGAAGAAAGUGACGGUACCUGUAAAGAAAGCCACGGCUAACUACGUG